CGGGUUGCCAGCGAGAGCCUUCGUGACAAGAGAUUCCAAGUUUGAUGGCUGCCGCUCAAGUUUUGCUGCAAAAUCCUCAACAUCUGCGAGAUGAGAACAAAUGAAAGACGACGACUCCCACUGACAGGCAGAUGCGCUCAAGCGGCAUGUCGAGGUCCCUGACCCGAUCAUCCGCCUCGCCGGUUCCGGAAGAAUCCUUUCCCGCCCCCCGCGGCGAGCAAAGCCGGCGCAGCGGCGCACCAUCCGCAGCCCGCGACUAACAGCCGAGCGCCACAAGCAGUUAGCGGUGAUGCCGGCCCGGAGAAGCUGCCAGGUAUGUUCUGAUCAGCUAGCUCGGGACCCUCCUCGGACGGGGGCCCCCAAGGCCCGUGGGUGCCAUCCUGCGUGCGUCGCAGCCGCCGAAUGCGCUUUGUCCCCGCGCGCGCACACGCGAGCUCUCGGGCGACCGUUGUGGAAUGCGCCCCGCCGCGGUGAGACGGCGGCGUGCCCACGAGAGGGGCCCAGGGAGGCCUCUCGUCUCCCCGGCGCUAAUGCAUCGCAGCCCCUUGCAUCCAGCGCACGCAGGCAUACAACGAGGCACGCGCCAUUGCCUAUUUAGUCAAUCAGUGAUUGCAGCGGUGGAUCCGUGGGACACGUCUCGGCUUUGUCCUUCUCGUGAUUCUUCUGCAUCGCAGUCAACCCCCAACAUUUUGCAGUACGCUACUUAGGAAUUAAUUCCCAUUUUCUACCUUGAUUCUUUCGCUGGAAAAAAAAAAUCACUGAAUGGACAAAUAGGAAGUCUUGUUCAUCAAAGAGGCAAAGAUGUUUUGAUGUCUGCGAGGAGCUGAGUUGAGGUUGUUGGCGAAAUUAACAGAAAAUCUUCAUGACGUGUACGCUUCAGGUAAAUAUAUAUAUAUUUUUUUUUCGGUUUUUGCCUCCAGAUGCAACAGAAUGAUGUCAAAUGACUACUUUUCUAUCAGACGGAGCCGAUUUCAAAACACGCUCCUCCCCUCACUUGAACAUACUUCCAAGGCACGCGAGGGCACAAAACUAUGACUUUUCUGUUACGCAAGACAUU
Long non-coding RNA from Hippocampus comes (tiger tail seahorse), 1057 nucleotides. RefSeq lists it as uncharacterized. The record is from RefSeq and is a predicted model, not a curated record. The transcript has 3 exons. Lineage: Eukaryota; Metazoa; Chordata; Actinopteri; Syngnathiformes; Syngnathidae.